Paramormyrops kingsleyae is the source of this 143-nucleotide long non-coding RNA. RefSeq lists it as uncharacterized. Lineage: Eukaryota; Metazoa; Chordata; Actinopteri; Osteoglossiformes; Mormyridae. The record is from RefSeq and is a predicted model, not a curated record.
AGAUUUCGCCGGGGUGCUCCUAUAUUCUGCGCAGUGAUACGGGUUUCUCCGCCCAAAGCGCGUAAAUCGCAGGAGGAUCUGCGAGCAGUGGGUGGACGGCCUACCGUGGUAUCAGGAUGUAGCACCUGCUGAUUGAGUUGAUG